Molecule: ribosomal RNA, 979 nt
Filed under: human gut metagenome
Description: bacterial LSU rRNA
Rfam family: Bacterial large subunit ribosomal RNA
Source: RNAcentral
ACGGUCCUAAGGUAGCGAAAUUCCUUGUCGGGUAAGUUCCGACCCGCACGAAAGGUGUAACGAUUUGGGCACUGUCUCAACGAGGGACCCGGUGAAAUUGAAAUACCUGUGAAGAUGCAGGUUACCCGCGACUGGACAGAAAGACCCCAUGGAGCUUUACUGUAACCUGACAUUGGGUUUUGUUGUAUUACGUACAGGAUAGGUGGGAGGCUUGGAAGGCUGGACGCUAGUCUGGCUGGAGCCGUCGUUGGGAUACCACCCUUGAUACAACGGAAUUCUAACCGAGAGAGUAACGAAAUCCGGGACAGUGUCAGGCGGGCAGUUUGACUGGGGCGGUCGCCUCCGAAAGAGUAACGGAGGCGCCCAAAGGUUCCCUCAGCGCGGCCGGAAAUCGCGCGAAGAGUGUAAAGGCAGAAGGGAGCUUGACUGCGAGCCAAACACGGCGAGCAGGUACGAAAGUAGGGCUUAGUGAUCCGGUGGUACCGAGUGGAAGGGCCAUCGCUCAACGGAUAAAAGCUACCCUGGGGAUAACAGGCUAAUCUCUCCCAAGAGUCCAUAUCGACGGGGAGGUUUGGCACCUCGAUGUCGGCUCAUCACAUCCUGGGGCUGAAGUCGGUCCCAAGGGUUGGGCUGUUCGCCCAUUAAAGUGGUACGUGAGCUGGGUUCAGAACGUCGUGAGACAGUUCGGUCCCUAUCCAUCGCGGGCGCAAGAGAUUUGAAGGGGUCUGCUCCUAGUACGAGAGGACCGGAGUGGACGGACCGCUGGUGUACCAAUUAUCCUGCCAAGGGUAUAGUUGGGUAGCUACGUCCGGAACGGAUAAACGCUGAAAGCAUCUAAGCGUGAAACCAUCCUUAAGAUGAGAUCUCUCAUAGAGUAAUCUAGUAAGACACCUUGAAGAUUACAAGGUUGAUAGGCAGGAUGUGUAAGCACAGCAAUGUGUUAAGCUGACCUGUACUAAUAUGUCGAGGGCUUGACUUA